CUUCCAAAGUAGUAACACACGAAUAAAGGCAACAUUGUGAAAUAUAAGGCAGCCGAACGUCAAAAAAUAAACAGAGAAUGCUGCCUUAUUACUUUACCUGUUUAUUGCAUGAUACAAAAAUAUAAGGUAGUUUCAUUUAUUGACAUUCGUUGUUGUUGCCGACCACUUGACUUUUAACCAUGAUACAAAAAUACAAGGUAGUUUCAUUUAAAUUUUUUUUGAUUAAAAAGCAGAUUAUUGACAUUCUCCCUGAUGUCAACAUUUGGCAUAGCGUUGCUACAUCGGAAAUUUGUAGGAGAGGGUAAUUUCUAAUCAUAUAUUGGAUAUUAUUUAUAAAAUGGUGGAUUUCAUAAAUGCUGAAUGAAGAGGCAUAUAACACAAAAACUUAAUGUUCGCAUCCAAAUUGACUCAAGCCCAUUUUUGAAAUUAUGUAGCCGCCAAAGUUUUCCAGGCCAUCGAACUCAAUAUCACUCAGCGCGGUCAUGCGAUCCAAAAAAUUAUUGGCUUCUUCCUGUUCUUGAAGCUACAACAGAUAUGUAUACGGAUGUUUGCAAUAUAAUCUAUAUUUAAAGUAAUAAAAGUAGACGAUUUUCUACCUCGAUAUGUUCUGCUGGUGACAAGGGAA
Molecule: long non-coding RNA, 625 nt
Organism: Rhagoletis pomonella (apple maggot)
Lineage: Eukaryota; Metazoa; Arthropoda; Insecta; Diptera; Tephritidae
Exons: 2
Source: RefSeq, a predicted model, not a curated record